GUUGGGUAGGGGAGCGUUCUGUAAGCCUGUGAAGGUGUGUCGUGAGGCAUGCUGGAGGUAUCAGAAGUGCGAAUGCUGACAUAAGUAACGAUAAAGCGGGUGAAAAGCCCGCUCGCCGGAAGACCAAGGGUUCCUGUCCAACGUUAAUCGGGGCAGGGUGAGUCGACCCCUAAGGCGAGGCCGAAAGGCGUAGUCGAUGGGAAACGGGUUAAUAUUCCCGUACUUGGUGUUACUGCGAAGGGGGGACGGAGAAGGCUAUGUUGGCCGGGCGACGGUUGUCCCGGUUUAAGCGUGUAGGUGUGUGUUCCAGGUAAAUCCGGUUCACUU
RNAcentral lists this ribosomal RNA (327 nucleotides) under Salmonella enterica. RNAcentral describes it as "partial 23S ribosomal RNA". It matches the Rfam family "Bacterial large subunit ribosomal RNA", at positions 1223 to 1552 of the family's 2925-position model. Lineage: Bacteria; Pseudomonadati; Pseudomonadota; Gammaproteobacteria; Enterobacterales; Enterobacteriaceae. The record is from RNAcentral.